RNAcentral lists this ribosomal RNA (156 nucleotides) under Alternaria alternata. RNAcentral describes it as "5.8S ribosomal RNA". It matches the Rfam family "5.8S ribosomal RNA". From Rfam's summary of the family: 5.8S ribosomal RNA (5.8S rRNA) is a component of the large subunit of the eukaryotic ribosome. It is transcribed by RNA polymerase I as part of the 45S precursor that also contains 18S and 28S rRNA. Lineage: Eukaryota; Fungi; Ascomycota; Dothideomycetes; Pleosporales; Pleosporaceae. The record is from RNAcentral. RNAcentral also lists the same sequence under 5 other names.
ACUUUCAACAACGGAUCUCUUGGUUCUGGCAUCGAUGAAGAACGCAGCGAAAUGCGAUAAGUAGUGUGAAUUGCAGAAUUCAGUGAAUCAUCGAAUCUUUGAACGCACAUUGCGCCCUUUGGUAUUCCAAAGGGCAUGCCUGUUCGAGCGUCAUUU